Molecule: ribosomal RNA, 253 nt
Filed under: uncultured bacterium
Lineage: Bacteria
Description: partial 16S ribosomal RNA
Rfam family: Bacterial small subunit ribosomal RNA
Source: RNAcentral
UACGUAGGUGGCGAGCGUUGUCCGGAUUUACUGGGCGUAAAGCGCGCGCAGGCGGACUGAUCAGUCUGGGGUGAAAUCUCACGGCUCAACUGUGAGCGGUCCCUGGAUACUGUCAGUCUUGAGAUGUCUAGAGGAGAGCGGAAUUCCCGGUGUAGUGGUGGAAUGCGUAGAUAUCGGGAAGAACACCAGUGGCGAAAGCGGCUCUCUGGGGACCAUCUGACGCUGAGGCGCGAAAGCGUGGGGAGCAAACAGG